RNAcentral lists this non-coding RNA (104 nucleotides) under Carlito syrichta (Philippine tarsier). Lineage: Eukaryota; Metazoa; Chordata; Mammalia; Primates; Tarsiidae. The record is from RNAcentral.
GGCUGGUGUGAGUGCUAUGGUGUGACAACUAAUUGAUCACAACCACUUACAGAUUUCUUUGUUCCUUACUCACUCCCACUAAUACUUCACUUGACAAGUCCUAA